CCUACGGGAGGCUGCAGUGGGGAAUAUUGCACAAUGGGGGAAACCCUGAUGCAGCGACGCCGCGUGAGUGAAGAAGUACUUCGUUAUGUAAAGCUCUAUCAGCAGGGAAGAAAAUGACGGUACCUGAGUAAGAUGCCCCGGCUAAAUACGUGCCAGCAGCCGCGGUAAUACGUAGGGGGCAAGCGUUAUCCGGAUUUACUGGGGGUAAAGGGAGCGUAGUCGGGAGUGCAAGUCUGGGGGGAAAGGCGGGGGCUCAAACCCCGGACUUGUCUGGAAACUGUACGGAGGGAGUGCAGGGGGGGGAAGGGGAAUUCCGAGGGGAGGGGUGAAAAGCGU
Molecule: ribosomal RNA, 336 nt
Filed under: uncultured bacterium
Lineage: Bacteria
Description: partial 16S ribosomal RNA
Rfam family: Bacterial small subunit ribosomal RNA
Source: RNAcentral